GACGAACGCUGGCGGCGUGCUUAACACAUGCAAGUCGAACGGAAAGGCCCUGCUUUUGUGGGGUGCUCGAGUGGCGAACGGGUGAGUAACACGUGAGUAACCUGCCCUUGACUUUGGGAUAACUUCAGGAAACUGGGGCUAAUACCGGAUAGGAGCUCCUGCUGCAUGGUGGGGGUUGGAAAGUUUCGGCGGUUGGGGAUGGACUCGCGGCUUAUCAGCUUGUUGGUGGGGUAGUGGCUUACCAAGGCUUUGACGGGUAGCCGGCCUGAGAGGGUGACCGGACACAUUGGGACUGAGAUACGGCCCAGACUCCUACGGGAGGCAGCAGUGGGGAAUAUUGCACAAUGGGCGGAAGCCUGAUGCGGCAACGCCGCGUGCGGGAUGACGGCCUUCGGGUUGUAAACCGCUUUCGCCUGUGACGAAGCGUGAGUGACGGUAAUGGGUAAAGAAGCACCGGCUAACUACGUG
RNAcentral lists this ribosomal RNA (468 nucleotides) under uncultured bacterium. Its description in RNAcentral is "partial 16S ribosomal RNA". It matches the Rfam family "Bacterial small subunit ribosomal RNA", at positions 28 to 507 of the family's 1533-position model. The record is from RNAcentral.